AUGUUUGUUCAUUCCCUUCUCAGAUUCCUCAGAGGGGCUGGCAUUGGCAGCUGCAUCAUCCUGGUGCCUUGAGAAAGCGCUUCUGCACAGCAUUUCUCAUCACACCGUGACUGCUGCCUUGACAUUGUGCCGAGCUGACAUCCCAACCGGUCUGACACUGAUGCCUUUGGGCAGAAAUCAGAGCCGGUUUGCUCCAUGGCUCGGUGCAGCCACGACGCCUGUAGCGCCUCGCAGAGCCCCCAGUGCCCUGCUGGGGAAAUGGAGCGAGCACGUGGGCCCCAGAUGAACUCCGCAGGCACAGCAGCUCCUUGACUUCAGCUAAUUGCCAUGUUCCCUCGAAGGAGGAGUGAUGCCUCACCCAAGUUUCUCUGCUAUGGAUGUGAGGAGCUGAUCUCGGAGUUAUUCAGUGGUUUCUUACAUCAUUCCUGUGUUCCCAGCCGUGCCACAAGGCUUUCAGAAGACUAUGAAACCAAGAAUGAGAGACAAGUGUGAGCCUUCCUCCAGCCCCUUCUGUCAUCUGGGCAUGCUCGUGCCACGUGUCACUACAAACAUUUGGGACAUCUGGAACGGGUUCAUGAAAGUUCCUCUGUCUGGUUCAGUGCCUGGUCACAGUGAGUUUUCCUGGCACAAGCGAGUGGAAAGAGCACUUUGGCAUGGAGAGGAAAUGAGCAGCGGAGGGUGAAAGGUGUCCUGCCAGGCAUUUCCCAUUUGUGUCCUUAUCCCAGUUUCCAGCCAUCUUCAGAGGCUUCCCAGCUACUGUGUCCUGCAAGUUCAAAACCCUGCAGCCCACUGGGACUGGGAAUGUGUGAAGGAGCACAAGGAUUGGAGUUGAAUGACAGUGAUAAAUAGGGAGCCGCCUGCCCCUGGGGGCCAUGCACUGUGUUCCUCCCCCAGAGUGUGCAAAUAUUUGCAGCAGAGCAGCCUCUGAGCCCCGAGACGUGAGCAGCGACACGAGGAGGUGCAGCCCAGGGCAGGGGCAAGGCCAGAGGGUGUGAAACCAGCACACAGCCCCCGGGGUGGCUGCCUGGCUGUUACAAUUUAUCAUGAACGCAUCUCACUUCACUUCUGGCUCCUCUGACGGAAGGAACAGCCGGUCUCCGGGAGGUCAAAGACAUUAUUUUCCCCUAGUCUUUCUCAGUUUCCAGCACAUAUUUGUCACUUUGAAAAAGCAUGAAUUCUGGAUUUGAUGCACUUUAAUUGAUUUCACCCUCAACAAGUCCAACUGUCCAUCAACCUUUCCUUUUUCUUUCCUCUCCCCCUUCUUCACUUCUUUCCUCUGUCCCUUUGCUUUGAGAGUGAUGUUUUCACCCGCCUGCAUGUUGGAGCUGUGGCAAAGCCCAUGACCCUAUCAAGGCUUACUGUCACUAGCCAUUGCACUCAUUCUCCCUUAUCCUCCAAGUUCAACUUUGGAUGCUGAAUGAGAAUGAAGUAGGAGUACUGAGUUGUAGAAUCUCAGUGAUGUGCUCCUUGUCAAAGUAAAAGUGAUGGCUGAUGGUC
Long non-coding RNA from Parus major (Great Tit), 1497 nucleotides. RefSeq lists it as uncharacterized. The transcript is spliced from 8 exons. The record is from RefSeq and is a predicted model, not a curated record. NCBI's taxonomy places the organism in Eukaryota, Metazoa, Chordata, Aves, Passeriformes, Paridae.